AGCUUUGCGCAGCGGCAAUAUCGUAACCAAUGAGGUUCUACCGAGGUGCGAUUAUUGCUAGUUGAAAACUUUUACCAAUACCCCGCCAUGACGAUGUGAAAUACCAUCGGCUACGGCAAUUUUUGAAAACCCCUGCGGGGG
RNAcentral lists this small nuclear RNA (141 nucleotides) under Polistes fuscatus (common paper wasp). RNAcentral describes it as "U4 spliceosomal RNA". It matches the Rfam family "U4 spliceosomal RNA". Rfam says of the family: U4 small nuclear RNA (U4 snRNA) is a component of the major U2-dependent spliceosome. The structure of U4 snRNA from yeast and human has been reported. U4 snRNA presents a k-turn RNA motif in the 5p-SL related to recognition of Snu13 protein. The record is from RNAcentral. Lineage: Eukaryota; Metazoa; Arthropoda; Insecta; Hymenoptera; Vespidae.